GUCUAUGGCCAUGCCACCCUGAACAAGCCUGAUGCCUGAUCUCAGAAGCUAAGCAGGGUCGGGCCUGUUAGUACUAGGAAGACCAGGUGCUGUAAGCA
RNAcentral lists this ribosomal RNA (98 nucleotides) under Pteropus alecto (black flying fox). Lineage: Eukaryota; Metazoa; Chordata; Mammalia; Chiroptera; Pteropodidae. The record is from RNAcentral.